Molecule: ribosomal RNA, 207 nt
Filed under: uncultured bacterium
Lineage: Bacteria
Description: partial 16S ribosomal RNA
Rfam family: Bacterial small subunit ribosomal RNA
Source: RNAcentral
UGCGUAGGUGGUGGGGUAAGUCGGAUGUGAAAUCUCGGAGCUCAACUCCGAAAUGGCAUUGGAAACUACCCCGCUAGAGGAUUGGAGGGGGGACUGGAAUGCUUGGUGUAGCAGUGAAAUGCGUAGAUAUCAAGCGGAACACCAGUGGCGAAGGCGAGUCCCUGGACAAUACCUGACACUGAGGCACGAAAGCUAGGGAGGCAAACA